CCUACGGGAGGCAGCAGUGAGGAAUAUUGGUCAAUGGACGGGAGUCUGAACCAGCCAAGUAGCGUGAAGGAUGACUGUCCUAUGGGUUGUAAACUUCUUUUAUAUGGGAAUAAAAUGUUCCACGUGUGGGAUUUUGUAUGUACCAUAUGAAUAAGGAUCGGCUAACUCCGUGCCAGCAGCCGCGGUAAUACGGAGGAUCCGAGCGUUAUCCGGAUUUAUUGGGUUUAAAGGGAGCGUAGGUGGAUUGUUAAGUCAGUUGUGAAAGUUUGCGGCUCAACCGUAAAAUUGCAGUUGAAACUGGCAGUCUUGAGUACAGUAGAGGUAGGCGGAAUUCGUGGUGUAGCGGUGAAAUGCUUAGAUAUCACGAAGAACUCCGAUUGCGAAGGCAGUUCACUGGACUGCCACUGACACUGAGGCUCGAAAGUGUGGGUAUCAAACAGGAUUAGAUACCCUUGUAGUC
RNAcentral lists this ribosomal RNA (460 nucleotides) under uncultured bacterium. Its description in RNAcentral is "partial 16S ribosomal RNA". It matches the Rfam family "Bacterial small subunit ribosomal RNA", at positions 338 to 795 of the family's 1533-position model. The record is from RNAcentral.